AAAUUGAAGAGUUUGAUCAUGGCUCAGAUUGAACGCUGGCGGCAGGCCUAACACAUGCAAGUCGAGCGGUAGCACAGAGAGCUUGCUCUCGGGUGACGAGCGGCGGACGGGUGAGUAAUGUCUGGGAAACUGCCUGGUGGAGGGGGAUAACUACUGGAAACGGUAGCUAAUACCGCAUAAUGUCGCAAGACCAAAGUGGGGGACCUUCGGGCCUCAUGCCAUCAGAUGUGCCCAGAUGGGAUUAGCUAGUAGGUGGGGUAACGGCUCACCUAGGCGACGAUCCCUAGCUGGUCUGAGAGGAUGACCAGCCACACUGGAACUGAGACACGGUCCAGACUCCUACGGGAGGCAGCAGUGGGGAAUAUUGCACAAUGGGCGCAAGCCUGAUGCAGCCAUGCCGCGUGUGUGAAGAAGGCCUUCGGGUUGUAAAGCACUUUCAGCGGGGAGGAAGGCGUUAAGGUUAAUAACCUUG
Molecule: ribosomal RNA, 472 nt
Filed under: Klebsiella pneumoniae
Lineage: Bacteria; Pseudomonadati; Pseudomonadota; Gammaproteobacteria; Enterobacterales; Enterobacteriaceae
Description: bacterial SSU rRNA
Rfam family: Bacterial small subunit ribosomal RNA
Source: RNAcentral